UAAUUCUUCCCUAAGAACGUUUUGGCAAUCAGAUGCUCUUCAAAAACCAACGAAAAUAGCCCGGCGUGUCUUUGCUUCACCUUCUGUUCUCUGCCUGUCCGUGUGGUGGGUACCCAGCCCCCGUCUGUCUGGGCCCCCCUGGGUCUGCUGUCAGUUUGGCCACGGGGGUCCUCCCGCCCCAGCAGGAUUUCAGAGCCCUCUUCUCUAAGUGUGUGUUGUCCUUUGCCAGUCAGAGUCUGGGAGCAAGGGGUCCCCAGUUAAGUAAGUUUGGGCUAAGCAAAUCUUGCUGCUGAAGAGUUUCUGAACAUUCUGACUGCCGACAGACUCUGAGCGACGCACCUCCAAAGCAGCAAGCUCCGAGCCCCAGAGUCCCCUCCCCUGCAUGGCUUGUGGGGCUCCUGUUCCUCAGGGCACCCUCGCGGGAACACUGGCCUAAGGUGGGGAAAGCCACAGGAAAAGGCACCCAAGACCUUGGAUUCCACGGCACUGGGUGGGAGCCAGGCACUGCAUCCGGCAGUGGUGGGUGCUGGAGUAUUUCCCACUGCACACACCAGCUCCGUCACAAGAAAUAAAUGCAGCCCUGCUUUAAGUUAAGAGAGGUGCUCAGCUUUCCGGCCUCCCGUGCUGAAUGCUCUGGGGGCUCAGGGUGAAGUUCGCAUCCAUGAGCACUCCGUUCUCCUGAAGCCCAUGGGCACAAGGUUCUGGGGGUCUGAUGGCGCAGUGAAACGUGGGCCUGUCUGGAGACUGGGGGUCCUGAUGAAUCAAUCGCUGAGCCCUGAGGUGGCAUUUGGGAGUCUCCUCCCCGCACGCCCCACCCUGUGCCCUGGCUGUGCGGAAUUUCUGGGCUCAGACAUCCUUCGUGACUUCCCGCACCUGUCGCCAGUGCGACCAGUCUCUUCUCCCUGCUGAGCCCCAAGUCAGGCACGUGGCGGGUUUCUUCUGUAACGAGGGUCCUUCUUACAAGAAGUUCCUCUUAGAAGAAAAUCAAAUUCCGAAGGGAAAAACACACUGCUUCUGUAAAAAUAAAAGCCAAAAAAAAAAAAACGUUUUGCACAAGCAAUAGUUACUCCUCACCAUUUUAAAAACAAAAGCCAAAUGCUGUUUUAUAAUUUUGCACCCUUAAUUUUUUUCACACGUCCUCAUGAGCAAAAGAAUCAUUCUUUUUGCAAUUUUAGGAUGACAGUCCCCAUGACUAAAAAAAUCACGUGAUUCCAGCCAGCUUUUCCAGGGACACAUUGUCGCGCAGUUACUGGUGGGUAGAGCUUUCUGGUGAAGUUCUGAGAGUGGGCAGAGAGAAAUUUCAAGGGCCCUGUUAUCAUGUUUUGUCUGUGAGAAAAAUUGAGCAUUGCUACAACGAGAGAGUUCCCUGAUCUUUGAGGGGCAGCGGUCGUUGGGGAGAAUAUUCUACAAGUGGUACUUCAUCAAUGGUUCAGUGCAGGGCAUUGACUCCUAUGAGAGUCUUAUUGACUGGCGUUGCUGUUUACAUAGGGAAGACCGCUGGAUUCUUGGAAAGCCCUGAAAGCAUCAGGCCCCAUUCGCUUCCCCAGCAGUGGCUGGCUGGUCCUUGGGGCGGGGGGUUCAGGCCUGGCUUUGAGGGGGUGGCAUGCCUUUCAAACAACCCUGGGAGCUCAAACUUCGCUACAAAGAUCUGGAAUGAUGGACAUAUUUUCCCUAGAAGAAUGCUUUUGUUCCUUGGGUGACCGCAGCCGACAUAUGCUUACAAUGAAUUCUUAAAGUUGGGGUUUGUUUGGGGAUUUCCAUUUCUUUACAGCCUGCAGUGAAUUAUCAUGUCAACCGUGAGCCUUUUUUUCCUAAAAGCAUUUUACACUGUACCGAAAAGAUUACAUUCUUUUGGCUUCGGAGAAAUAUUUCCGGUUCCGUCCAAGCCAUCAGAGCCUGUUAGUGCCCCACAUGUGGAAGCCCGCGCCGGGUCUGCCUUCCAGCACCACACAGAGACCCGGCAGCCCGCCUCGGCCUCCAGCGAGGGCUGAGUGGCAGGCCCAUGGCGCCCCACUCCCAGCAUCAGUUCUGCUGGACUUCCUGCAUGGAGACCCCCGAGGGACCCCUUUCUGGUCCGGCCACGCAGUGGAGUCUGCAGGGGCCUGGGUGCCCUCGGGAUACUGUCCAGGAGGUUCUUCGAGGGGAUUCCACUGCCCAGCAGCAGAACCACGUGGAAAAGACCGUGGCGGCUACCCAGUGGACGUUUUGGAAGACGACCCCAGUGGGUACCGGGAAGCCGCCCUGGCGUACUACGCCGAGCUAAGGGCAGGAACUCAGCUCGAGGCAGAGGUCUUCUCCCUUCCCACUGGGGAGCAGGUGAGACUUGAGGCGCCCUCCGUUUGCUUCUGCACGGUGCAUCGUGACGAACCUCAGCACAAAAUCUUGGUCUUGGUCAGUCCCCGGGACACAAAGACAGUGGUGGCGCUCUACCUGAAGGGGUCCUGGUGGGCCACCGAAGACGCACUGAGGACCUCGGACCCUGCCAGAGAAGGGCUGGUGAAGGUUCAGUCGUUUGGGAAAAGGGUGGUGCUUUUCAUCCUCAACGUUGUCAUUUUUGGAAGACUGGAGAGAAGACUGGACGAUGACGACAUGUUUUUUUUACCUCACUCUGGGAGGGAGGAGGCUAAAGUCCUGUGGAGGGACGGCGCGGCCGUCGGAUUUUACACAACCAAGGCGAAAGGUGAGGGGCGGCGGGCACCCGCGGCGGAGAGGUGGCUGCCCAGGUGCGGUGCAGAGAGGGCCUCCGAGCCCAGCGGUCAUCGCCGACGCAGCUGCCGUGGAAAUCGGCCCGAGGUCUUCUCGCUGCACCUGCAGACAGGCUGCACUCACGCCCCUUUGAUUCUCAGGCCAUUGCAAGUUCUCCGUAGAAACCUUGCCACCGUCAACGGUGUAGAAGGACUCUGUGGGUACCACGCUUCUCAUUUCUGUUCUUUAAUGUUACCUGCUGGCCCCCAGGACGGAUAGGAUUGCGGACAGCUGAGCCGAGGUGCAAAGGCAGGCUGGGUGCCGCGGUUCACGGACCUUACCAGCUGGGGGCGGGCAGCAGGCGGGGGUGAUGGUGUUUCUGGGUGGGGACAAGAAGUGACUGUGGAGCAAGGACCCGUCUGACUGAGGGGUCGGUCUCUUCUUCAGAGUCUCCUUGCAGUUGCUUGCUUUCACAGUUUUGAAGUUUUUUAGGUUUGUUUUCAACUACCAUCGGCGCACGGCGUGAGUGUCAGGUGUACAGCGCAGCGACCAGGCGUCCAGAUGCCUCGUGCGUGGUCAUCCCAGCGCUCUGCCUGGUCACGCGUCUCCUUUGCUGAAGCGUCUGUUCAGAUGUUUUCUUCAUUUUUUAUUGGGUCGCUUGUUUUCUUAUUUCGCUUUGACCAUUCUUUACAUGCUAUAGAUAGCAUCUCUUCAUCACUGUGUAUUUUGUAAACAUUUUCCUUUUGGUACGACGCUGUGUGGGAAGAGAAGAUUUAAAUGGGGACUGAGUCCGAUUUGUUCUUUUACCACUCUGUAGUCUCCUGGCUUCUGCUGGGGUCAUCUUGGGACCCUCCCCCUUCAAACCCACUGGACUUCAGUUCUCUGCCAGCGAGCUGAUCUGGACACCUUGGGGGUGCACCCGUCAGGGUGUGUAGAGGGUGUCCCUUAGCUGAGGUUUGUGAGGUUGUUUUCUAUGAUUAACUGGGCGUGUGUGUUUGGAGGGGGGUGAGGCACCCUCCUCCUCACAGGGUCUCCUCACACGGGGGGACAAGGCACCCGCAUGACUAUUGGAGAUGCUCCCCUGGCUUCUGGAGCGGGCCUGCGGGGCUCCCCCUCUGGAAAUGUGCGGUAUGUCCUUUCCCACACUGAAUUACAUCUUCCAAGCAGCGUUUUAGUACAACUUAUUGUAUCCUUUAAAGUCACUGUAUCGAAAUGUAAUGUUAUGUCCCACCAAACUGUACAAUUCAGUGGCUUUUAGCCAGUUUAGAGAGUUGGGUGUGAUCAUCACCCGAAUACAGAUUUGGGGAGUCUCCUGCACCCGAGGGGCUGCCCGUUUGCCGUCAGCGUCUGCUCCCACCUGGCCCCAGGUGUGCACGCAGCCAUCCGCCGUCCGGUCCGUUCACCCUUCCUGGGCCUUUUGGGUCAGUGCAGUGACACAGGAAGUGGUGUUUUUCCACAUCUGGCUUCUUUCACACAGCGUGGGAUUUCUGAGGCUUGCAUGAAUGGCAGCAAGGACCAGCUCCUCACCCCUUCCUGCUGCUGGGCGGCAGCCUGUGCGGCAAUGGCACAGGUGCGUGCUACCUGCUGCCUGUCUUCGACACCGUGUUUGUCAGGAGGGGACACCGUCGCC
Molecule: RNA transcript, 4315 nt
Organism: Artibeus jamaicensis (Jamaican fruit-eating bat)
Lineage: Eukaryota; Metazoa; Chordata; Mammalia; Chiroptera; Phyllostomidae
Gene: FAM169BP
Gene name: Protein FAM169B
Exons: 7
Source: RefSeq, a predicted model, not a curated record